AUAUUGUAUUCAAUACGUAUGUAUAUAUGUUUAUCCUUCACUUCAUUCUUUUUCUUUUUGAAGUUUUGAUGUAAAGAUUCCUUUACCAACGCAUUUAACUCCAUUUGUUAGAAUAGCUUCCAUUGAGUCUCUGCACCUAUCCUUUUUUUCUGAACCUUUGUUUGUUUUUCCAUUUGUUAGAAUAGCUUCCAUUGAGUCUCUGCACCUAUCCUUUU
This 215-nucleotide long non-coding RNA is filed under the name Nicotiana benthamiana. RNAcentral describes it as "long non-coding RNA (NBEN_LNC033328)". The record is from RNAcentral. Lineage: Eukaryota; Viridiplantae; Streptophyta; Magnoliopsida; Solanales; Solanaceae.